RNAcentral lists this ribosomal RNA (227 nucleotides) under uncultured bacterium. RNAcentral describes it as "partial 16S ribosomal RNA". It matches the Rfam family "Bacterial small subunit ribosomal RNA", at positions 95 to 339 of the family's 1533-position model. The record is from RNAcentral.
GUGGCGCACGGGUGAGUAACGCGUGGGAACCUACCUUUUAGUACGGGACAACGUCUGGAAACGGACGCUAAUACCGUAUACGCCCUCAGGGGGAAAGAUUUAUCGGUGAAAGAUCGGCCCGCGUUGGAUUAGCUAGUUGGUGAGGUAAUGGCUCACAAAGGCGACGAUCCAUAGCUGGUCUGAGAGGAUGAUCAGCCACAUUGGGACUGAGACACGGCCCAAACUCC